AAUCUAUGGUGUGGAAAGUCUCGUUGGAAAAACUUGAAUCUGAUCCACGCAUCUUUGAAAGACUCUCCAGUCUCAUGCUUGAAUCUAGCGAUUUUGCUCCUCAAGUCU
Brassica napus (rape) is the source of this 108-nucleotide non-coding RNA. The record is from Rfam. NCBI's taxonomy places the organism in Eukaryota, Viridiplantae, Streptophyta, Magnoliopsida, Brassicales, Brassicaceae.